UGGGGAAUUUUGGACAAUGGGCGCAAGCCUGAUCCAGCCAUGCCGCGUGAGUGAAGAAGGCCUUCGGGUUGUAAAGCUCUUUCGGCCGGGAAGAAAUCGUGUUCUCUAACAUAGGACAUGGAUGACGGUACCGGACUAAGAAGCACCGGCUAACUACGUGCCAGCAGCCGCGGUAAUACGUAGGGUGCGAGCGUUAAUCGGAAUUACUGGGCGUAAAGCGUGCGCAGGCGGUUUUGUAAGACAGAUGUGAAAUCCCCGGGCUUAACCUGGGAACUGCGUUUGUGACUGCAAGGCUAGAGUACGGCAGAGGGGGGUGGAAUUCCUGGUGUAGCAGUGAAAUGCGUAGAUAUCAGGAGGAACACCGAUGGCGAAGGCAGCCCCCUGGGCCUGUACUGACGCUCAUGCACGAAAGCGUGGGGAGCAAACAGGAUUAGAUACCCUGGUAGUCCACGCCCUAAACGAUGUCGACUAGUCGUUCGGAGCAGCAAUGCACUGAGUGACGCAGCUAACGCGUGAAGUCGACCGCCUG
RNAcentral lists this ribosomal RNA (529 nucleotides) under bacterium enrichment culture. RNAcentral describes it as "bacterial SSU rRNA". It matches the Rfam family "Bacterial small subunit ribosomal RNA", at positions 355 to 875 of the family's 1533-position model. The record is from RNAcentral.